Molecule: transfer RNA, 76 nt
Filed under: Dialister pneumosintes
Lineage: Bacteria; Bacillati; Bacillota; Negativicutes; Veillonellales; Veillonellaceae
Also listed under: 3 other names
Description: tRNA-Phe(gaa)
Rfam family: tRNA
About the family: Transfer RNA (tRNA) molecules are approximately 80 nucleotides in length. Their secondary structure includes four short double-helical elements and three loops (D, anti-codon, and T loops). Further hydrogen bonds mediate the characteristic L-shaped molecular structure. tRNAs have two regions of fundamental functional importance: the anti-codon, which is responsible for specific mRNA codon recognition, and the 3' end, to which the tRNAs corresponding amino acid is attached (by aminoacyl-tRNA synthetases). tRNAs cope with the degeneracy of the genetic code in two manners: having more than one tRNA (with a specific anti-codon) for a particular amino acid; and 'wobble' base-pairing, i.e. permitting non-standard base-pairing at the 3rd anti-codon position.
Source: RNAcentral
GCCUCGGUAGCUCAGUUGGUAGAGCAAAGGACUGAAAAUCCUUGUGUCAGCGGUUCGAUUCCGCUCUGAGGCACCA